GAAAGAGAUGUGUACCUCUCGGGCUGCUGCGCUGUGAUCGUUGCUGCGGUGUGGAGGCUUCCUAAGCCAAGUGCCUUGGAGGAGCAGCUAAAAGGUACCCAGAUCCAGCUAUUAAGGGAGCUCCAAAAUUAUGUAAGGCCUGGCCAUUUUGUUUGUUUUUACCCUAAGAUUUUUACCACCCACACACAACCCACCAGUUAAUGAAAAUGUGUUAGUGGUUAAUACUCUGUUUGAUUUAUUGGUGGGGUCUUUCUUUUUUUGUUUUAGUGGUUUUUCACGGGUUAGAAAGGAUGCACAAAUGCCAUUUUUUGAAGUUUCUAUUGUCAGAGUUUUGGUUGCAAAACAUGUAAAUUCUCUUGAAAAGAAAUGUACUGAUAAUCCCAAUGUAAGCCUGAUACACAACAUGUUUGAAAUGUUUAAAAUAUCAUUAAAUAAUGUCUGAGGUACAGGGAAACAAACACUCACUUAAUGGAGCUGACUGACCUCUGACCUCUGUUCUGACUUUCUUGUGAGGCCUGAUCACCCUCACGAUUAAGACUAGAGACAUUGGGUGAGAUUUAGAUGGGCUAUGUAAACACUAAUAAUUAGAAAAUGUUUAUAAUUGAUCAUUAGUCCAAUGUGUGAUUCGCCCCACGAGAAGGACAUAGAGAGCGCUGCCCCUGAAUGAGGGACACCCGUCUCUAGUCUAUUUUACCAUUACCUUACGGGAUACAAUUAUUUCCUUAUGGAUUCAUCAAGAGAUGUAAUUCUAAUUUGUUUAUACUUGAUUUAACAGGCAGUGUUGUUUUUUUGGACAUAUGAAUCACGAUGUGUGUCAUGCGUCCAAAGGGGGGAAUUACCAGUCCCUUGUGGCUUUUUGGUAAAUAUGCAAAUAGAUUUUCUUCACAUGCCUGCCUGUAAAAGGAAAAAAAUAUAUGUUGGUAAUGGUUGACAGUUACUCCAACUGUAUAGAAUUUUUCCCCACAUCAAGUGAUACGUGUAUUGUUGUUGUUGUUUUCUUCCUUUUCUUUGUUUUUGUCUUGCUUCAAUAACAAAUCUCACCAGAUUGGGUCUGCCGGAUGGUCGGGAUUUCUCCCUAAGGAUUUGCCCUCUAACUCCUUGACCUGUAACUCUGCAGUGAGAUCGCCAAGAUGAUAGGGGAGCAUAAGCCAUUUGUUUUUUAAAAUUAUGGUUUCAACUGUGUGUCCUUAUUUUCUUUGACAUUUGAAAUCUGUAUUAAGAAUCAGGUAGUAGUAAUCAUUUGUUGUACAGUAAAUAAUUUGUCUGGAUUUUCUGAAUCAGAAAUGUCCUAAACUAAACUGUUGUUCUGGUCUGUCCUCUCUCGUGGUUAUGGCGAAGGUGACCACAGAUAGUAUCUAGAUGCAUGAAAGAUAAUUAAUCCGAGAAGAGUGUGAACUUCACCCCCUCUAACCGGGUGAAAUAAUGGUGAAAAUGGCAUUCAGGAUUAUUCUUCACCACUUUUACCGUGAGACCUGAGUCCGAGCCAACAACCUGUACACAGCAUCCAGUCGAAGCGAUCAACUGCCUUUUCUCCCAGGAGUGUGAAAUCACUCAAUGUGGGGUGAGCAUGGAGAGAGAUCCUGUCCAAAACUUCUCAUGCUGCUGGUGUACUGGUAGGAAAAUGGACAAGACAUAAUGAACUGUAAAGGACAGUGACAUUAUCAAGGGCCAUCCACUUUGAACAUGUGCCAUUAAAAACAUGAACUGAAACACUACC
Molecule: long non-coding RNA, 1717 nt
Organism: Oncorhynchus tshawytscha (Chinook salmon)
Lineage: Eukaryota; Metazoa; Chordata; Actinopteri; Salmoniformes; Salmonidae
Source: Ensembl